This 1383-nucleotide ribosomal RNA is filed under the name Vibrio parahaemolyticus. Its description in RNAcentral is "bacterial SSU rRNA". It matches the Rfam family "Bacterial small subunit ribosomal RNA", at positions 50 to 1415 of the family's 1533-position model. Lineage: Bacteria; Pseudomonadati; Pseudomonadota; Gammaproteobacteria; Vibrionales; Vibrionaceae. The record is from RNAcentral.
UAAACGUGCAGUAACUCGGAAACGACUUAACUGAACCUUCGGUUCACGUUAAGGGCGUCGAGCGGCGGACGGGUGAGUAAUGCCUAGGAAAUUGCCCUGAUGUGGGGGAUAACCAUUGGAAACGAUGGCUAAUACCGCAUGAUGCCUACGGGCCAAAGAGGGGGACCUUCGGGCCUCUCGCGUCAGGAUAUGCCUAGGUGGGAUUAGCUAGUUGGUGAGGUAAUGGCUCACCAAGGCGACGAUCCCUAGCUGGUCUGAGAGGAUGAUCAGCCACACUGGAACUGAGACACGGUCCAGACUCCUACGGAGGCAGCAGUGGGGAAUAUUGCACAAUGGGCGCAAGCCUGAUGCAGCCAUGCCGCGUGUGUGAAGAAGGCCUUCGGGUUGUAAAGCACUUUCAGUCGUGAGGAAAGGUAGUGUAGUUAAUAGCUGCAUCAUUUGACGUUAGCGACAGAAGAAGCACCGGCUAACUCCGUGCCAGCAGCCGCGGUAAUACGGAGGGUGCGAGCGUUAAUCGGAAUUACUGGGCGUAAGCGCAUGCAGGUGGUUUGUUAAGUCAGAUGUGAAACCCGGGGCUCAACCUCGGAAUAGCAUUUGAAACUGGCAGACUAGAGUACUGUAGAGGGGGGUAGAAUUUCAGGUGUAGCGGUGAAAUGCGUAGAGAUCUGAAGGAAUACCGGUGGCGAAGGCGGCCCCCUGGACAGAUACUGACACUCAGAUGCGAAAGCGUGGGGAGCAAACAGGAUUAGAUACCCUGGUAGUCCACGCCGUAAACGAUGUCUACUUGGAGGUUGUGGCCUUGAGCCGUGGCUUUCGGAGCUAACGCGUUAAGUAGACCGCCUGGGGAGUACGGUCGCAAGAUUAAAACUCAAAUGAAUUGACGGGGGCCCGCACAAGCGGUGGAGCAUGUGGUUUAAUUCGAUGCAACGCGAAGAACCUUACCUACUCUUGACAUCCAGAGAACUUUCCAGAGAUGGAUUGGUGCCUUCGGGAACUCUGAGACAGGUGCUGCAUGGCUGUCGUCAGCUCGUGUUGUGAAAUGUUGGGUUAAGUCCCGCAACGAGCGCAACCCUUAUCCUUGUUUGCCAGCGAGUAAUGUCGGGAACUCCAGGGAGACUGCCGGUGAUAAACCGGAGGAAGGUGGGGACGACGUCAAGUCAUCAUGGCCCUUACGAGUAGGGCUACACACGUGCUACAAUGGCGCAUACAGAGGGCAGCAAGCUAGCGAUAGUGAGCGAAUCCCAAAAAGUGCGUCGUAGUCCGGAUUGGAGUCUGCAACUCGACUCCAUGAAGUCGGAAUCGCUAGUAAUCGUGGAUCAGAAUGCCACGGUGAAUACGUUCCCGGGCCUUGUACGCACCGCCCGUCACUUCAUGGGAGUGGGG